This is a small nuclear RNA of Loxodonta africana (African savanna elephant), 106 nucleotides long. The record is from Ensembl. Lineage: Eukaryota; Metazoa; Chordata; Mammalia; Proboscidea; Elephantidae.
AUGCUCACUUUGGCAGCACAUAUACUGAACUCUGACCAUACAGAAAAGAUUAUCAUGGCCUCUGCGUAACAAUGGAAAGCAAAUUUAUAAAGUUUCCCAUAUAUAU